UCAGGCUUACACAUGCAAGUCGAGGGGCAGCAUGGUCUUAGCUUGCUAAGGCCGAUGGCGACCGGCGCACGGGUGAGUAACACGUAUCCAACCUGCCGUCUACUCUUGGACAGCCUUCUGAAAGGAAGAUUAAUACAAGAUGGCAUCAUGAGUCCGCAUGUUCACAUGAUUAAAGGUAUUCCGGUAGACGAUGGGGAUGCGUUCCAUUAGAUAGUAGGCGGGGUAACGGCCCACCUAGUCUUCGAUGGAUAGGGGUUCUGAGAGGAAGGUCCCCCACAUUGGAACUGAGACACGGUCCAAACUCCUACGGGAGGCAGCAGUGAGGAAUAUUGGUCAAUGGGCGAGAGCCUGAACCAGCCAAGUAGCGUGAAGGAUGACUGCCCUAUGGGUUGUAAACUUCUUUUAUAAAGGAAUAAAGUCGGGUAUGGAUACCCGUUUGCAUGUACUUUAUGAAUAAGGAUCGGCUAACUCCGUGCCAGCAGCCGCGGUAAUACGGAGGAUCCGAGCGUUAUCCGGAUUUAUUGGGUUUAAAGGGAGCGUAGAUGGAUGUUUAAGUCAGUUGUGAAAGUUUGCGGCUCAACCGUAAAAUUGCAGUUGAUACUGGAUAUCUUGAGUGCAGUUGAGGCAGGCGGAAUUCGUGGUGUAGCGGUGAAAUGCUUAGAUAUCACGAAGAACUCCGAUUGCGAAGGCAGCCUGCUAAGCUGCAACUGACAUUGAGGCUCGAAAGUGUG
RNAcentral lists this ribosomal RNA (731 nucleotides) under Bacteroides sp. ES-11. Its description in RNAcentral is "bacterial SSU rRNA". It matches the Rfam family "Bacterial small subunit ribosomal RNA", at positions 42 to 763 of the family's 1533-position model. The record is from RNAcentral. Lineage: Bacteria; Pseudomonadati; Bacteroidota; Bacteroidia; Bacteroidales; Bacteroidaceae.